This 440-nucleotide ribosomal RNA is filed under the name uncultured bacterium. RNAcentral describes it as "partial 16S ribosomal RNA". It matches the Rfam family "Bacterial small subunit ribosomal RNA", at positions 338 to 795 of the family's 1533-position model. The record is from RNAcentral.
CCUACGGUGGGCAGCAGUAGGGAAUAUUGCUCAAUGGGGGAAACCCUGAACCAGCAACGCCGCGUGAAGGAUGAAGGUUUUAGGAUUUUAAACUCCUUUUGUUCGAGAAGAUAAUGACGGUAUCUAACGAAUAAGCCACGGAUAACUACGUGCCAGCAGCCGCGGUAAUUCGUAGGUGGCAGGCGUUAUCCGGAUUUAUUGGGUGUAAAGGGCUUCUAGGCGGGAAAGCAAGUCAGCAGUUAAAAUUGAGGGCUCAACACUGAACCGGCAUUUGAAACUGUUUUUCUUGAGUGGGCGAGAGGUAAGCGGAAUGCGUGGUGUAGCGGUGAAAUGCAUAGAUAUAAGGAGGAACGCGGAUGGCGAAGGCAGCGUGCAGGAGCCUAACUGACGCUGAUGCGCGAAAGCGUGGGGAGCGAACAGGAUUAGAUACCCCUGUAGUC